GAGUUUGUCGGUUGGUCGGGCUUCACUGUCCGCACUGGCCUGGUGGAUUCCUACCUUCUGAACAACCGGCAUGCUAUUAAGUUAGUGCGUUGGGGAAGCAGAGCUAUUACCUUGAAAAAAUUAGAGUGCUUAAAGCAGGCUUUUGCUUGAAUAGAUUAGCAUGGAAUAAUAAAAUAGGACGGACUGAUUCUAUUUUGUUGGUUUCUAGGAUCACCGUA
Molecule: ribosomal RNA, 218 nt
Filed under: Campeiostachys nutans
Lineage: Eukaryota; Viridiplantae; Streptophyta; Magnoliopsida; Poales; Poaceae
Description: Elymus nutans partial small subunit ribosomal RNA
Rfam family: Eukaryotic small subunit ribosomal RNA (bases 47-218)
Source: RNAcentral